RNAcentral lists this small RNA (56 nucleotides) under Sinorhizobium meliloti 2011. RNAcentral's name for it is "putative ncRNA". The record is from RNAcentral. Lineage: Bacteria; Pseudomonadati; Pseudomonadota; Alphaproteobacteria; Hyphomicrobiales; Rhizobiaceae.
GGCUACUCUGCGAUGCGCACACGCCAGGCGGAGAGACGAUGGAUUACGAUUGGGAG